RNAcentral lists this ribosomal RNA (3444 nucleotides) under Triticum aestivum (bread wheat). RNAcentral's name for it is "partial small subunit ribosomal RNA". Lineage: Eukaryota; Viridiplantae; Streptophyta; Magnoliopsida; Poales; Poaceae. The record is from RNAcentral.
AUGGGGAAGAAGCUGUGCAGGAUUGUGCAGGCCAUCGAAGUCCUUGUGGCUGAGAUGAACGCCUUUGGGUUUAAGUAUCAGCAGCAAGCACCAGAGUCCAUGCGGUGGAGGCAGAUGGACCAUGUUAUCUUCGAUCCGAAGAAAAUCAUCAGCAGAUCGAGAAGCCGAGAUACUAAGAAUAUUGUUGGUACACUACUUGGUCAAGCCAACAAUGCAGAUCUCUCGGUCGUUCCCAUCGUUGGAAUAGGGGGCCUAGGCAAGACCACCUUGGCACAGCUAAUUUACAAUGAACCUGAAAUUCAGAAGCAUUUCGAGUUGCUGAUCUGGGUUUGUGUCUCUGACAGCUUUGAUGUGGAUUCCCUGGCUAAAAGAAUAGUUGCAUUUCAUCUAGAAAAAGAUGUAGUUGAAGCAGCAGCUUCCAAGAAAAGCCCACUGGAUAGUCUUCAAGACGUACUAAGCGGGCAUAGGUACCUCCUUGUAUUGGAUGACGUCUGGAACCGAGAAAGUGAUAAGUGGGAAAAGCUCAAGGACCGCCUUACACAUGGUGCCAACGGCAGUGUGGUUCUGACAACUACUCGUGAUGAAGGAGUCGCAAAAAUAAUGGGUACAGUUAAACCCUAUAAUCUCGCAGCUUUGGAGGAUAACUUCAUAAAGGAAAUUAUCGAGACAAGAGCAUUCAGUUUGCAGAAGGAAGAAGAAAGGCCUGCUGUGCUAGUUAAUAUGGUUGAUGAGAUUGUGAAGAGAUGUCGUGGCUCUCCUUUGGCCGCAACAGCGCUGGGCUCUGUGCUGCGUACAAAGACAAGUGAAGAAGAAUGGAAGGCUAUAUCAAGUAGAAGCAACAUUUGCACCGAGGAGUCUGGAAUUUUACCAAUACUCAAGCUCAGCUACAAUGACUUGUCAUCACAGAUGAAGCAGUGCUUUGCUUUCUGUGCUGUUUUCCCCAAGGAUUACGAGAUUGAUGUAGACAAACUGAUCCAACUAUGGAUCGCACAUGGCUUCAUCCAGGACCACAAAGAAGUUAGUCCUGAAACCAUUGGCAACCGGAUUUUCAGCGAGUUGGCCUCAAGUUCAUUCUUUGUGGAUGUGAAGCAAGGAAAAGCCACAUCCUAUGAACGCAUGGUGGGGGGUAGUUAUUACAAACGUACAUGUAAAAUCCAUGAUCUUAUGCAUGAUGUUGCGCUGUCUACAAUGGAGAAUGAAUGUGGUUUUGCACCCGAGGAACCAAAUCGGAUUGAGUGGCUUCCAGAUACAGCUCGCCACUUACUUUUGUCUUGUGAAAAACCAGAAAUUGUUUUGAAUGAUUCUCUGGCAAGAAAAUCUCCAGCUAUUCAGACACUUCUGUGUGAUAGUUAUAUGGAACACCCACUGCAGCAUUUAUCAAAAUAUAGCACCUUGAAGGCACUACAGCUCCAUACGCGGAGAAGUCCAUUCCCCUUAAAAUCAAAGCAUCUUCAUCACCUAAGGUACCUUGAUCUCUCAAGAAGUGAUUUUGAAGCACUUCCUGAAGAUAUAAGCAUUCUAUAUAACCUGCAAACAUUGAAAAUCUCUGGCUGUCAAGAACUGUGUCGGCUUCCAAGACAAAUGAAGUAUAUGACUGCCCUCCGUCACCUCUACAGUCAUGAUUGUCCAAAGAUGAGCAGCAUGCCUGGUGACCUCCGGAAACUCUUGUCCCUUCAGACGCUUACGUGUUUUGUAGCAGGCCAGACUAGCUCUGAGUGCAGCAAUGUUGGAGAGUUGCAGCAUUUAAAUCUUGGUGGUCAGCUAGAGCUAAAUCAGCUAGAGAAUGUGACAGAAGAAGAUGCAAAAGCAGCAAAUCUCGGAAAGAAGAAGGAACUCCGAGAACUGACAUUAAAAUGGACUAUUGGUUCUAGGGAUGAUGCAAGGGUGCUUGAGUGUGUCAAGCCUCAUGAUGGCCUGCAGUCUCUAAGGAUAGAAUCCUACGGAGGCACCACAUUUCCAACAUGGAUGGCUAUGUCGCGAAACAUGGUUGAAAUCCAUCUUUCCUAUUGUAAAGACCUACAAUGGCUAUUCAGUUCUGGUGCAUCCUUCAGUUUUCCAAAUCUGAAGGAGUUUACACUUCGAGGUCUGGAAUGUUUGGAGGGAUGGUGGGAAUCAAGUAACAUGGAACAAGGAAAAGAGGCAGUAUUUCCUCAGCUUGAGAAGUUGCAUAUUCUUGACUGUGCAAAGCUGACAACAUUACCAGAAGCAACACUGCUUGGAGAAUCUUACGGUAGAAUGGAACGGCCAGCAUUUCCUAUGUUGAAGGUUCUCGAAUUGAGAUACUUGAGGAGCUUUAAGAGAUGGGAUGCAGUCGAAGGACCUCAAGGAGCAGAGAUAAUGUUUCCUCAGCUUGAGGAGUUGUAUGUUGCACACUGUGGAAAAAUCAAAGCAUCAUCAGGACAACAAAAGGUUUGUCCAAAGCUGACAAUAAAAGCUGAAUCACCAAAGCUACGUGUUUUAGAGAUGCAGGGCAGUGAGGAAGAGAUGUUCCUGUGGAUAGCUAGAAAUGUGACUUCACUGACCAAUCUGAAGCUGCAGAACUGUGAAGGCUCGGAAACAACCUCGGCAGCAGCGGCUGAUAAUAGUUUGACACAAGCGAUGAGCGCCAUGGAGAAUUGGAAACAUCACGAUUUCCCUCUGGCAGACAUGGAGUUAAUUGGCUUUAAGUCAGGCGUAACAGAGCUAUGUGCAAGCUUUGUACAGCCCCAACGCUUGUGCAUCAAUGAUUGUGCCGCACUUGUCCACUGGCCAGAGAAAGAGUUCCAAAGCUUGGUAUCCUUGAGGAGUCUGAACAUUAUGUCCUGCGAACAACUGGUUGGAUGCGCAGCCGAGCCAUCAACAACAACAUCAGAAUCCUCGAGUCAGCUCCUGCCACGCCUGGAGUCUCUCAAGAUAUAUGGCUGUACGAGUAUGGUAGAGGUCUUCAGACUCCCCGCGUCCCUGAGGAAGAUGACGAUUCGCGAUUGCGCGAAGCUCAGGUCCAUAUUCAGCAGGAGGCUGCAGCAGCAGGGACAACCAUCAGCAUCAUCUAUCGUUCAAGGCUCACCAACUGUAUAUUCAGAGGUGCUCCCAUGCUUAGAAGAGAUAGACAUACGUGGCUGCGACGGAUUAACAGGGGCCCUUGAUCUUCCCCCAUCCCUCAAGCACAUCAGCGUUUAUCGGUGCGGCGGGUUGAGGUCAGUGGAAUCUCACUCGGGAGAGUUCCCGUCGCUGAAGGGCCUCUCCAUCGGGCUCUGCGAGACCCUGUCAUCCCUACCGGAUGGCCCGCGAGUGUACCCGUCUCUCAGAGUGCUCAAGGUCUAUGACUGUCCUGGUAUGAAGAGACUCCCUGCUUGCCUGCAGCAACGCCUAGGCAGCCUCGAGGGGGUAACUCUAGAUGCCCAUCAUCAAGGACCUAUUCUGUCGAAGCCCAAGACAUGGAUAAAUGGCAUCUGCAGAGGUUAG